Molecule: long non-coding RNA, 400 nt
Filed under: Taeniopygia guttata (zebra finch)
Lineage: Eukaryota; Metazoa; Chordata; Aves; Passeriformes; Estrildidae
Description: lncRNA (ENSTGUG00000022479.1)
Source: RNAcentral
AAUAGUAGCUGUAAAAUAUUACAAGUUACAACAGCCAGACUCAUGAAUCUAAUGAAGGCCACAAACUGAUUGCUGUCAAUCAUAUUAUUACUGUUAAAGCCAGCAGCAAUAUCUGAGAGCUAUACUAUGUUUGGGUGUGUGGUGAGAUCUGACUACUGCCAUUUUCUUCCUUAGGCAAUCCAACUUCCACACAAAAUAGUGUCCUUUUUUUAAUGGGGGCAAGAUCAGAUACAAUACGAUCCAUGGUCUCAACAAGACUCCAGACUGAGAUUUCUUAGUAAUCUGUACAGUUCUCUGCGCUGGACUCUCACUUUUCAGAAUGAUGAAAGCAUGUUGCACAGGAGUCACAGAUACUGCUGCUGAGUUGGGGAUCACUGAAGCACAACGAGCUUCACACUGA